AGCGCAGGCGGGAAGACAAGUUGGAAGUGAAAUCCAUGGGCUCAACCCAUGAACUGCUUUCAAAACUGUUUUUCUUGAGUAGUGCAGAGGUAGGCGGAAUUCCCGGUGUAGCGGUGGAAUGCGUAGAUAUCGGGAGGAACACCAAUGGCGAAGGCGGCCUACUGGGCACCAACUGACGCUGAGGCUCGAAAGUGUGGGUAGCAAACA
RNAcentral lists this ribosomal RNA (207 nucleotides) under uncultured bacterium. RNAcentral's name for it is "partial 16S ribosomal RNA". It matches the Rfam family "Bacterial small subunit ribosomal RNA", at positions 568 to 774 of the family's 1533-position model. The record is from RNAcentral.